Molecule: transfer RNA, 85 nt
Filed under: Euplotes vanleeuwenhoeki
Lineage: Eukaryota; Ciliophora; Spirotrichea; Euplotida; Euplotidae
Description: tRNA-Tyr
Rfam family: tRNA
About the family: Transfer RNA (tRNA) molecules are approximately 80 nucleotides in length. Their secondary structure includes four short double-helical elements and three loops (D, anti-codon, and T loops).
Source: RNAcentral
UGAAAUCGUGGCUGAGCGGUCAAAGGCGGUAGACUGUAAAUCUAUUGGAAUUUUCCUACGUUGGUUCGAAUCCAAUCGAUUUCAU